This is a long non-coding RNA of Solanum verrucosum, 303 nucleotides long. RefSeq lists it as uncharacterized. NCBI's taxonomy places the organism in Eukaryota, Viridiplantae, Streptophyta, Magnoliopsida, Solanales, Solanaceae. The record is from RefSeq and is a predicted model, not a curated record. The transcript has 4 exons.
GAAAAGAAAAAGAACUCAUUAAGGUGCAUUUGAAUUUGAUAAGUCAAAAAAAGUAAUUGGAGUGCCUCGAUUUGCUCAAAAAAGUGAUACUAGUCCGUUUGAAUCUAGAAAAGCAAAAAAAGUGUUUGAAGUGGCUCAAGGUGCUAAGGAAACUGAAACUAGUCUGUUUGAAUUUGACAAGGCUAAAAAAGUGACUGAAGUGUCUCGGCAAGAUCAAAGAAGUGAUACUACUAUUUUAUUUUAUUUGUGUAACUUUUUUUAGUAAGCUGAAUUGAUUUCUUGGGCAUUUUGACUUACAGUUAG